GAGUUUGAUCUUGGCUCAGAUUGAACGCUGGCGGCAGGCCUAACACAUGCAAGUCGAGCGGAUGACGGGAGCUUGCUCCUUGAUUCAGCGGCGGACGGGUGAGUAAUGCCUAGGAAUCUGUCUGGUAGUGGGGGACAACGUUUCGAAAGGAACGCUAAUACCGCAUACGUCCUACGGGAGAAAGCAGGGGACCUUCGGGCCUUGCGCUAUCAGAUGAGCCUAGGUCGGAUUAGCUAGUUGGUGGGGUAAUGGCUCACCAAGGCGACGAUCCGUAACUGGUCUGAGAGGAUGAUCAGUCACACUGGAACUGAGACACGGUCCAGACUCCUACGGGAGGCAGCAGUGGGGAAUAUUGGACAAUGGGCGAAAGCCUGAUCCAGCCAUGCCGCGUGUGUGAAGAAGGUCUUCGGAUUGUAAAGCACUUUAAGUUGGGAGGAAGGGCAGUAAGUUAAUACCUUGCUGUUUUGACGUUACCGACAGAAUAAGCACCGGCUAACUCUAGUGCCAGCAGCCG
Molecule: ribosomal RNA, 514 nt
Filed under: bacterium enrichment culture clone ALO1_GLFRUDD03HCQQY
Lineage: Bacteria
Description: bacterial SSU rRNA
Rfam family: Bacterial small subunit ribosomal RNA
Source: RNAcentral